GACAAGAAUUAAGAACUUAGGAGAGGAAACCAGAGUAACAGUUCACCUCUGGGAUUUGGGCCAACAUAUAGGGAAGGGCCAACAGAGAAAGAACUUUGGCUCUGGAGCCACACCAGUACCCAGCACCAACCAGAAGUGACUCAGCAUCAGGCAUGGGCUUCAGUCUUCUCAAAUAAUAGCAGCUGAGAAGAUGGCAAAAGAAGGAAAGACCAGCAGUCACAGAUUAUCAACACCUCACUUUUGGCUCCAGGCAACCUGGGCGCUGGCGUUCUGACACACUGCCUGAGCUCCCCCUGCUGGCCGCUUUGCAGAAUGUCAUCAUCUGUGUCCAAAGUGGAAUCAGAUUACGCAUUUGUUCCAACCACCUUGGAAAACCGGUUCCAGAAUCGUCCCCAGCCCUGGCCCGCACAGCAGUGCCCUCAUUUGCAUGCCGCGGCUUCGUCUACCGAACGACGUUCUGCAACGCCAUUCCUCACUGCUCCCCACCGUGCUAAGCCGCUAUGCAGAUGGGCUCUCACGUCCUCUCCCGCCCAUUUCGUUUUUUCGGCUGUCUGUCUUGCCCUGCGCUCACUCAGUCCCCUCCAGCGAUCUUUGGCUGCCACCGCAGUGGGCGCUGAGCCAGGCUGUGCCAGCCCAGCCCUUCCUCGAGCACCCUAGCCCUUUCUGGUCCGGAUUUAUUUCACACACGAGGUGGCUGCUUUGCCCAGAGUGGAACAAGAGCACUUUUCCUGUACAAAGAACUGAUUUGGAUUUUCAUCUAAAAUCCACGAGUGCUAAAAGGAGAUAAAGAUAAAUCAGCAUUUUCUGCUCACUGCAGGUCAGUGAGGUUCAAGAACUUGCGGCCAGAUGGGUAAAACCAGGAUAUAGGAUGCGGAAGGCGAACAGUGAGUGACUCAUGGCCGGUUACGUAUCACACCGUGUUCUUCACCGCAUUUAAUCCUUAUAAUAACCCUCCGAGGUAGGUAUUCCGAUCCCCAUUUGUCGUAGGAAGAAACUGAGGCUUGGAGAGGUAGAAGGACUUGUCUAGCACACACUUAGGAAGUGACAGAUGCAGGUACUGAACUUUCUCUCUGGCACCAAAUGCCAUGUUCUUUCCAUGGCACCAUGCUGCCUGCUUGAUGAGCAUGCUGACUCAUUUGUGAAGUUAUGUAAGCUUGUAAAUCACAUUGAGAUUCCCAAUGUGCCCGCAUAAAAAAGGAAAAAGUAUUGCCACGACAGCUUCGGUGCACCAGUGGAGAGAGGCACCCCACUGUCUGGGAAAGGUUAUAGCAAACUGUUGAGAGGUAAAGGUCUGCCCCAGUGAAAGCCAGACGGGAGGCAAUCAUUUGUCCCUUCUCCUCCCAACCUGUUCUGUAAA
Molecule: long non-coding RNA, 1357 nt
Organism: Zalophus californianus (California sea lion)
Lineage: Eukaryota; Metazoa; Chordata; Mammalia; Carnivora; Otariidae
Exons: 4
Source: RefSeq, a predicted model, not a curated record